GAUGAACGCUGGCGGCGUGCCUAAUACAUGCAAGUCGAGCGAACAGAUGAGGAGCUUGCUCCUCUGACGUUAGCGGCGGACGGGUGAGUAACACGUGGAUAACCUACCUAUAAGACUGGGAUAACUUCGGGAAACCGGAGCUAAUACCGGAUAAUAUAUUGAACCGCAUGGUUCAAUAGUGAAAGACGGUUUUGCUGUCACUUAUAGAUGGAUCCGCGCCGCAUUAGCUAGUUGGUAAGGUAACGGCUUACCAAGGCAACGAUGCGUAGCCGACCUGAGAGGGUGAUCGGCCACACUGGAACUGAGACACGGUCCAGACUCCUACGGGAGGCAGCAGUAGGGAAUCUUCCGCAAUGGGCGAAAGCCUGACGGAGCAACGCCGAGUGAGUGAUGAAGGUCUUCGGAUCGUAAAACUCUGUUAUGAGGGAAGAACAAAUGUGUAAGUAACUAUGCACGUCUUGACGGUACCUAAUCAGAAAGCCACGGCUAACUACGUG
Molecule: ribosomal RNA, 497 nt
Filed under: uncultured bacterium
Lineage: Bacteria
Description: partial 16S ribosomal RNA
Rfam family: Bacterial small subunit ribosomal RNA
Source: RNAcentral